ACACGUAGGGGGCGAGCGUUGUUCGGAAUCAUUGGGCGUAAAGGGCGUGCAGGCGGUCCUGCAAGUCCGGCGUGAAAGACCCCGGCCCAACCGGGGGGACGCGCUGGAAACUGCGGGGCUUGAGUACAGGAGGGGAUGCCGGAAUUCCAGGUGUAGGGGGGAAAUCUGUAGAUAUCUGGAAGAACACCAAUGGCGAAGGCAGGCAUCUGGCCAUGUACUGACGCUGAGACGCGAAGGUGCGGGGAGCAAACAGGUUUAGACACCCUGGUAGUCCGCACAGUAAACGAUGUGCACCAGGUGGCGGGGGGUCGACCCUCGGUACCGUAGCUAACGCAUUAAGUGCACCGCCUGGGGAGUAUGCUCGCAAGGGUGAAACUCAAAUGAAUUGACGGGG
This 394-nucleotide ribosomal RNA is filed under the name uncultured bacterium. Its description in RNAcentral is "partial 16S ribosomal RNA". It matches the Rfam family "Bacterial small subunit ribosomal RNA", at positions 523 to 918 of the family's 1533-position model. The record is from RNAcentral.